GACGAACGCUGGCGGCGUGCUUAACACAUGCAAGUCGAACGGUAAGGCCCUUCGGGGUACACGAGUCGCGAACGGGUGAGUAACACGUGGGUGAUCUGCCCUGCACCUCGGGAUAAGCCUGGGAAACUGGGUCUAAUGACGGAUAGGACCACUGCCUGCACGGGCGGUCGGGGAACGCUUUCGCGGCUUGGGAUGGCUCAGCGGCCUAUCAGGUUGUUGUUGGGGUGAUGGCCUACCAAGGCGACGACGGGUAGCCGGCCUGAGAGGGUGACCGGACACACUGGGACUGAGAUACGGCCCAGACUCCUACGGGAGGCAGCAGUGGGGAAUAUUGCACAAUGGGCGCAAGCCUGAUGCAGCGACGCCGCGUGAGGGAUGACGGCCUUCGGGUUGUAAACCUCUUUCAGCACCGACGAAGCGCAAGUGACGGUAGGUGCAGAAGAAGGACCGGCCAACUACGUGCCAGCCGCCGCCGUAA
This 478-nucleotide ribosomal RNA is filed under the name uncultured bacterium. RNAcentral's name for it is "partial 16S ribosomal RNA". It matches the Rfam family "Bacterial small subunit ribosomal RNA", at positions 28 to 523 of the family's 1533-position model. The record is from RNAcentral.